UGGGGAAUAUUGCGCAAUGGGCGAAAGCCUGACGCAGCAACGCCGCGUGAGGGAUGACGGCCUUCGGGUUGUAAACCUCUUUCAGCAGGGAAGAAGCGAAAGUGACGGUACCUGCAGAAGAAGCACCGGCUAACUACGUGCCAGCAGCCGCGGUAAUACGUAGGGUGCAAGCGUUGUCCGGAUUUAUUGGGCGUAAAGAGCUCGUAGGCGGUUAGUCACGUCGGAUGUGAAAACCCGGGGCUUAACUCCGGGCCUGCAUUCGAUACGGGCUGACUAGAGUGUUGUAGGGGAGACUGGAACUCCUGGUGUAGCGGUGAAAUGCGCAGAUAUCAGGAAGAACACCGGUGGCGAAGGCGGGUCUCUGGGCAACUACUGACGCUGAGGAGCGAAAGCGUGGGGAGCAAACA
Molecule: ribosomal RNA, 407 nt
Filed under: uncultured bacterium
Lineage: Bacteria
Also listed under: 1 other name
Description: bacterial SSU rRNA
Rfam family: Bacterial small subunit ribosomal RNA
Source: RNAcentral